Molecule: transfer RNA, 68 nt
Filed under: Marmota monax (woodchuck)
Lineage: Eukaryota; Metazoa; Chordata; Mammalia; Rodentia; Sciuridae
Description: tRNA.Val
Rfam family: tRNA (bases 5-65)
About the family: Transfer RNA (tRNA) molecules are approximately 80 nucleotides in length. Their secondary structure includes four short double-helical elements and three loops (D, anti-codon, and T loops).
Source: RNAcentral
GGAUUGUGGCUCAGUGGUAGAGCGCUUGCCUCACACGUGUGAGGCACUGGGUUCAAUCCUCAGCACCA